Molecule: long non-coding RNA, 277 nt
Organism: Ornithorhynchus anatinus (platypus)
Lineage: Eukaryota; Metazoa; Chordata; Mammalia; Monotremata; Ornithorhynchidae
Exons: 2
Source: RefSeq, a predicted model, not a curated record
CCGGAACACAGCACCUCUGGGAUGGAGCACUCCUAGCUAUGAAACAAGGCGACACAGCGAAGCAGCAGAGCAGAAGCAAGAACCAACUGAAAUUUAGGGAGGAUUUAUGAAGGCUGAAUGAAAUACCUCCUCCACAAGAAUGUCGAGAGGGAUUAAUUGGAUAAUGUUGGCUGCUACUCUGGGACAAGUCUCAUGGCACAGAUUUGUGUGGAAAUACUGAGGGGAAUUCUCUGAAGUAAAGUCAUCAGCUGGCCAAAAAUAAACAUUCUUGAAAAAA